GACGAACGCUGGCGGCAUGCCUAACACAUGCAAGUCGAACGGUAAGGCUUCCUUCGGGAAGUACACGAGUGGCGAACGGGUGAGUAACACGUGGGUAACCUACCCUUGACUGGGGGACAAACGAGGGAAACUUCGGCUAAUACCGCAUAACGUGCAUUGCCUCAAGGUGGUGUACCAAAGCUCCGGCGGUUAAGGAUGGGCCCGCGGCAGAUCAGCUUGUUGGGGCGGUAACGGCUUACCAAGGCGAAGAUCUGUAGCUGGUCUGAGAGGACGAUCAGCCACACUGGGACUGAGACACGGUCCAGACUGCUACGGGAGGCAGCAGUGGGGAAUCUUGCGCAAUGGGCGAAAGCCGGACGCAGCAAUGCCGCGUGAGGGAAGACGGCCUUAGGGUUGUAAACCUCUUUCAGCAGGGACGAACACAGACGGUACCUGCAGAAGAAGCCCCGGCUAACUACGUGCCAGCCGCCGCCGUAA
RNAcentral lists this ribosomal RNA (477 nucleotides) under uncultured bacterium. RNAcentral describes it as "partial 16S ribosomal RNA". It matches the Rfam family "Bacterial small subunit ribosomal RNA", at positions 28 to 523 of the family's 1533-position model. The record is from RNAcentral.